This 92-nucleotide microRNA precursor is filed under the name Canis lupus familiaris (dog). RNAcentral's name for it is "mir-8799 microRNA precursor family". It matches the Rfam family "mir-8799 microRNA precursor family". Lineage: Eukaryota; Metazoa; Chordata; Mammalia; Carnivora; Canidae. The record is from Rfam by way of RNAcentral. RNAcentral also lists the same sequence under 1 other name.
GGGGGGAGCGCCGGAUCCUGGGCUGUGUCCCCGGCGCCAUGUGCUCCGGGGCCUGUGCUGUUGGAUUCGCGCUCUCGGCUGCCCAGCCCCUU